RNAcentral lists this ribosomal RNA (466 nucleotides) under uncultured bacterium. RNAcentral's name for it is "SSU rRNA". It matches the Rfam family "Bacterial small subunit ribosomal RNA", at positions 26 to 518 of the family's 1533-position model. The record is from RNAcentral.
AGGACGAACGCUGGCGGCGUGCUUAACACAUGCAAGUGGAGCGACGAACCGGGGCUUGCCCCGGGGCAGAGCCGCGAACGGGUGAGUAACACGUGGGUUACCUACCCCGAUGACCGGGACAACCCGAGGAAACUCGGGCUAAUACCGGAUGUGGUCUUCGGACGAAAGGAAGCUUCGGCCUCCGCAUCGGGAUGGGCCCGCGGCGCAUUAGCUUGUUGGUGGGGUAACGGCCUACCAAGGCGACGAUGCGUAGCUGGUCUGAGAGGACGAUCAGCCACACUGGGACUGAGACACGGCCCAGACUCCUACGGGAGGCAGCAGUGGGGAAUAUUGGACAAUGGGCGCAAGCCUGAUCCAGCCAUGCCGCGUGGAUGAUGAAGGCCUUAGGUUGUAAAGUCCUUUUAACGGGGAAGAUAAUGACGGUACCCGUAGAAUAAGCCCCGGCUAACUUCGUGCCAGCAGCCGC